This 72-nucleotide transfer RNA is filed under the name Candidatus Aquiluna sp. IMCC13023. Its description in RNAcentral is "tRNA-Thr". The record is from RNAcentral. Lineage: Bacteria; Bacillati; Actinomycetota; Actinomycetes; Micrococcales; Microbacteriaceae.
CGACCUGGCGCAAUUGGUAGCGCACCACUCUUGUAAAGUGGGGGUUACGGGUUCAACUCACACUCACUUCGU